ACGUCCAUACGUAGAAAAAAAAACAAAUCUGUGUCUUUGGAAUUGACGUGUCCAGGUUUCCGGUGAGCGGACAUCACAAGGGUCGCGACUAAGGUUGUUCCACACACUGAACGCAUACAAAGAAGGCAGAGGUUUUGCUGCAUUGCACCGGACUUGUGCUUGACGUUAGGGAUAGACUUAACAAGAGGUAUGGUCAUUGCUGUUUGUUGUAAACCGUUAUGGGUAUCAUUGUGUUUGUGGUCGAAAAAUGGUAUUCAAAAAGAAAAAUACCUUAUGUCAUCCAUUUCCCCUGUUUUGUGUGGGUUUAGGGUUAUUUGGUUUUUAUUUUGCUGAAUAAUGCUCCAAAAAUUUGCCUUUUCAACCACUAUCAGAAAAAGGGUACGCAUGUAUAAAUAUUCAAAAAAAAUUUGGUACCUUGACAUUGAAAUUUGAUUGUUGGGAAAUCUUUGUUCAUACAGUUUUGGAUUUGACUAUAUACAUUUGUGUUGGUUUGUUGCCUAUAUAAGUGGUGAGCUGUGGUUUGUUGGCUAUACAUGGAAAUCUCUCUUGUGGAACUUAGAAGUGGUGAUCUGUCUCUCUCUCUGCGGCAGUAACAAAAAUACAUAGUGACUAGUGGGUGGAGGCUUGGAAACAAUUACAGUAGAACCAUUGACGGAAGCAUGGGUGGAUGCGGGUCUGGCAUAGGUGGAGGUGGAGGUGAAAGCGUCAUUUCUAGGCAUUCUUCAUCCUUAUCCCCUUCUAGGGUGAAGAUGUGCUAUUGUGGAGUGCUGGCUGCGUUGCGAAUGAGUUGGACAGAAAGGAAUCAGGAAAGACAAUUUCUUGGAUGUCCUAAUUUCAGAACAGUGGACGAUUGUCAUUUUUUUUGAGUGGUUUGAAGAACCGAGUUGCCGUAAUUGUAUGAAGUUCGAGAAAGUGAUCAAAUUACAGAGUGUUUCGAUAAUUGUUAUUGUUAUAACAUUUGGGAUCAUCAUGACUACAAUGUUGAUUUUUUGUUGACUUGUAUUGUAAUGGUUUAGGGUCAUGUGUUGCAUUAGCAGCACUUUCGGAGUUAUGUUGUGUGGAGUUGUAAGUUAGCGAAACCCUCGACGUAGAUGUUAUUUAUUAAUGUCAUGAAAUGUUGAUAGUAGUAAUGGCUCCCUGUAUUGUUCAACUUAUUUUGAAGUGGUAAUGGCUCUUCAGCUGUGGUAAAUAUAUUUCUUUUAACUGUCUCUGAUUCAUUGGAUAUGGAUGAUCCAUGUUAAAGAGAGAAUCAGUAGCAUAUUUGGUGGUAGUCCGCUGGAUGAUUGGAUUACAGUCCCAAAAUGUGCGAAACAUGCAAAAAUCCUAAGUUGAAAAUGAAGUUAUGAAGCAAGUCAGUUAUUGUACUGGUGCAUGUGAUCCUUGAAGGAAGAUCAUGCAGGAUACUCCACUUCUUGCUCUAUCUAGAGGAAUCUAUGCUGAUCCCAUGACAAGUAUUGAUUGAUGAUGUGGCAAGUAUGAUGAAGUUGAGUGUUGUCACUUGUCAUCAGAAGGAAAACUGUUUGUUACUGGUGGCCAUGACAAAAAGGCUUCUUUAUGGAUUAGAUGGAAAGUAUGAUUGAAAGUAGAGGAAAUAGGUCAAUGCAUUAGAUGGAUUGAGUGCCUCCUAUUGCUGGAACUUGUCAAUAAAUCCACCUGGAUUUGGUUCCUUACCUUCAUCUAUAUCUAUGCAUGUUGUUUGAUAUCCAGGAAAAAAUUCCUUUGUCCUUACAUAUUUGGAACCUUUCAAGAUUGUAACUUCUUAAUAUAGCAUCAGUUGUGAAUUAAUUUGUGUGAUUAACCAUUUCUUAUGUCUGAAGUCUGCAUCACAUACAUUUUUCUAUCAUCAGUAUACGUGCUAUUAUAUUGCAUGAUCAUUUAUUUUAUUUGUAUCAUAUAAUUUAUUGAAUUCUGAUAAUACUUUGCAGCCUGGUUAUUCUCUUCGAACAUUCACAGGACAUACAACAACUGUCAUGUCACUAGAUUUUCACCCUAGUAAAGACGACCUCAUUUGCUCUUGUGACUAUAAUGAGAUAAGGUAUUGGAACAUAAAAAAGGUAGUUGUACAGGGGUUCACAUGGGCAGCAAUCUUCAAUGAACACCAUCACAAGGUGUUACAAGAUUCCUUCAAAUAAAAUCACUCAUUACACUGUCAGAAAAAAUGACUCCUACUUUGAGUUGGUAAUUUAGAACUUACCAAGGCCUCACCACCUGCCAUGGAUUGAUGGGUCAGAAUUACAAGGCAUCUAUCAAAAUGCCAGUUGGUGCUCAAAUCAAAGUUCCAAUGUUAUGUGCUUGUCCUACAGCAGACUAGAAGGCAAGAGGGGUCACCACAUUGCUGGUUCACAUGGUGAACAUUGGUGAUACAGUUAAUUCCAUAGGAGAGGCUUAUGGUGUUGAUGAACAAAGUGUGGUAGAGGUCCAUGAGUUGAAAGUGUGACCUAGUGCAGACAGCAGCAUCAUCCUCCUUGCAUCCUCCUCCAUGCCUCGACACCUAUAUCAUUGUCUUAUUUUCUGAGAACAAUGAUAAUUUUUUAUCUCAGUCUUUUGUGGUUGUUUUCCUAGUUACUCAUGUUGUUAUAUCUCAUACUAUUGUGCUUACAUUCAUCAGGCGGUUUGGAUUCUCAUACAACUUUGAAUGGCUCGGAUGAUUUGGAAGUGGAGAAAAUGAUGACCCUGUUGAAGAUGGGGUUGGAUGAAGAAGUUUUUCCCAUGUAUAAGAUGAGGAAAGCAAAUUUCAUGAAACGGGUGUUGAUCACUGCAGUGAUAGCUAUGUUUGUUGCAGAUGCAGCUGAUACAAAUGAUGUUUAUAGUCCUUUUGACAGUUCACUUUUGCAAAGCUCAAGUUCAGAAAGUCAUUCUUCAGGAUUAAGUGGAAGUAGUAUUGUUAGUGGGGUAUCAGAAUCAACAAAAGUGCCCAUUGCACAAUCCAACGGCAAAAGUGAUUCUUAGAUGAGACAGGAACGUAUGAGUCACAUGGUGCCUUCAGGAGCAAUCAAAGUCCACCAUCGAACGUAGAUUGCCUGAACAACAUUUUACCUUGAUAUACAGCAUCUGCAUGGGUUGGAUAAUCAUAACCAUUUUGCUGGUGGUAUAUUGUCUUACGACAAGGGUUUUGUUGAAAAAUGCCAACCUGCUGCACUUAGAGAGAAGAGAUUCUGA
Gastrolobium bilobum is the source of this 3159-nucleotide long non-coding RNA. RefSeq lists it as uncharacterized. Lineage: Eukaryota; Viridiplantae; Streptophyta; Magnoliopsida; Fabales; Fabaceae. The record is from RefSeq and is a predicted model, not a curated record. The transcript is spliced from 4 exons.